This is a long non-coding RNA of Odontomachus brunneus, 669 nucleotides long. RefSeq lists it as uncharacterized. The record is from RefSeq and is a predicted model, not a curated record. Lineage: Eukaryota; Metazoa; Arthropoda; Insecta; Hymenoptera; Formicidae. The transcript has 3 exons.
AUAACUUAAACCCUAAGGCUGAGCGAUACAAUUAUUAAUCCUGUAGACCUGCGCGCAAGAUAUAGUGGAAAAAGGAAGUAUAAUCAGUAAACGCAAUCUCGAAUCCGUUUCCAAGCGGAAGGUGGUGCGUUAAUUACUUGCAAAUACACAAAUGUACCAAGAACAAUCGGAUCCUGUUCAGACUUGAUAAUAUAUUAAAUCUAACGUUUGCAAGAUAUCAGUCAAACAUUUUUAGAACUACUGCUUUUCUAUUUUUGGUGAAGACCAGAUUGCUCCGACGAUAAAUGUAUGCAGUGACGGUAAUCCAGCUUGGUCCCUUUUUUCUUCGUGUUUCCCAACUGGGAUUUUAUUUAAAUCAGUUAGGAAUUCUUGUCACAUUCGUUUAUUGCACACUGGUUACGAAUAUCAAUUAAUGCAUAUGCAAUAAAACCAAUGUUAUUUGAGAGGACCAAAAUAUCUGUUUGUUAACAAUCAGUGUCGAGUGAAGAUCAGGUUUCGUUUAUAGGUUCUUAUAAAAGAGCAUGGAGAAAAUUUCGAGAAUAUGAGAAGCGUACGUUAAAUACAGUUCUACGAUAUAUUAAAAAUGUAAGUUUCUCAAAUUAAUAUUUCUUUCUUUUAAAUAACUUUUGUAUAAAUAUGUAUUUUUAACCAUGUUGUACCACCACGAUA